Molecule: ribosomal RNA, 409 nt
Filed under: Glypturus armatus
Lineage: Eukaryota; Metazoa; Arthropoda; Malacostraca; Decapoda; Callianassidae
Description: partial small subunit ribosomal RNA
Source: RNAcentral
AUUUUCAGCACUAAUACCCAAAACCUAAAGACUAUAAGCUAUGAACUUUAAACUUAAAGGACUUGGCGGUAAUUUGGCCCAGUAAGAGGAACCUGUUUGAUAAACGAUAAACCCCGAAAAAUCUUACCCAUCCUUAAAGCUUGUAUACCGUCAUUAUUAGGUUACUCUCAUAGGAAAAGUAACUUCAAGAAAUAUUUYUAUAUUUAGUAUAUUAGAUCAAGGUGCAGUCCAUGGAUGGGACAAAAUGGGUUACAAUAAAACUUAUUUACUACGAAUAGAAGAUUUAAACAUCUUCUUGAAGGAGGAUUUUAUAGUAAGGCCAUUUUAAUAAGUUACCCUGAUAGAGGAUCCGAAUUAAGUACAUAUCGCCCGUCGCUUCCAUCUACAAAUGGAAUAAGUCGUAACAUAG